This is a long non-coding RNA of Pantherophis guttatus, 536 nucleotides long. RefSeq lists it as uncharacterized. The record is from RefSeq and is a predicted model, not a curated record. Lineage: Eukaryota; Metazoa; Chordata; Lepidosauria; Squamata; Colubridae.
UAAUGAGAUUGGGCGCCCAUUGGAGGAGACUGCACGGGAGGGGAAGAGGAGCAGCCAGUUCUCAGCCAAUAGCCUGCAGGGAUGCCUUGGUUUAGUGAUCCUUUUCAAACUUUGUCCUCUUUUCUUCUUCCUUCCCGGAAAGUCUCAGGCUAAGUUAUUGGGUUGCAUCUACCACUUCACCGAAGCCAAAUUCUCUGCAUCGAAAAUCUGGAAUUUCACCAAUGCCCUCCUGAAAAAUCACUGCGACGGCAACUCCGAGGUCAAUGGAUCUCAGAAUCAUCGAUGGACAAACUGUAACCGACAACCAAGGCAUAGUAAUUAUUUACUUCGGGAACUCAGAGAAAUGUGGAACAGCUAUGAAAGAUAUUAAAUACUGAAUUGGAAAUAAAUCUUUACUGAACCAUGUUUAAACAAGUUUAUAUUUUUUACAAAGUUUAUUUUUAAUGAUAUUAAUUUAUUUUGUAUGAACAUUUAAACAUACAUGUAUGUCCUAAAAUCAUCUAACACAAUAAAUACUUUAAUUACCUGCUGUAUAA